Molecule: ribosomal RNA, 1987 nt
Filed under: Lactobacillus crispatus 2029
Lineage: Bacteria; Bacillati; Bacillota; Bacilli; Lactobacillales; Lactobacillaceae
Description: bacterial LSU rRNA
Rfam family: Bacterial large subunit ribosomal RNA
Source: RNAcentral
AGGGUUACUGAAUCCAGAUAAACUACGAAUUCCAGAUAUCCAUACACGGGAGUCAGACUGCGAGUGAUAAGAUCCGUAGUCGAAAGGGAAACAGCCCAGAUCACCAGUUAAGGUCCCCAAAUCUAUGCUAAGUGGAAAAGGAUGUGGAGUUGCGUAGACAACUAGGACGUUGGCUCAGAAGCAGCCAUCAUUCAAAGAGUGCGUAAUAGCUCACUAGUCGAGUGGCGCUGCGCCGAAAAUUUACCGGGGCUAAGCAUAGUACCGAAACUGUGGAUGUGUUUUAAAGAGCACGUGGUAGGAGAGCGUUCUAAGAGCGGAGAAGUUGAAUCGAGAGGAUCAAUGGAGCGCUUAGAAGUGAGAAUGCCGGUAUGAGUAGCGAAAGAUAGGUGAGAAUCCUAUCCGCCGAAAGACUAAGGUUUCCUGGGGCAGGCUCGUCCGCCCAGGGUAAGUCGGGACCUAAGGCAAGGCCGAGAGGCGUAGUCGAUGGAUAACAGGUAGAGAUUCCUGUACUGUGUCAAAUCGUUAAGAGCGAAGGAGGGACGCAGGAGGUGAAGCACGCAUCGCGAUGGAACGAUGUUCAAGCAACAAGUGCGGUUAAGAGUCAAAUGCUUCUAACCAGCAACACGAGUUGUGAAGAGGAGUGAAUUAAAAGUAGCGAAGGUGUGGUAAUCACACUGCCAAGAAAAGCUUCUAGCCAGAGAUGACAUACCCGUACCGCAAACCGACACAGGUAGUCGAGUGGAGAACACUAAGGUGAGCGAGAGAACUCUCGUUAAGGAACUCGGCAAAAUGACCCCGUAACUUCGGAAGAAGGGGUGCUAGCCAAGAGAUUGGUUAGCCGCAGUGAAUAGGCCCAAACAACUGUUUAUCAAAAACACAGGUCUCUGCAAAAUCGUAAGAUGACGUAUAGAGGCUGACACCUGCCCGGUGCUGGAAGGUUAAGAGGAGAGCUUAGCGUAAGCGAAGGUUUGAAUUGAAGCCCCAGUAAACGGCGGCCGUAACUAUAACGGUCCUAAGGUAGCGAAAUUCCUUGUCGGGUAAGUUCCGACCUGCACGAAAGGUGUAAUGAUUUGGGCACUGUCUCAACGAGAGACUCGGUGAAAUUAUAAUACCCGUGAAGAUGCGGGUUACCCGCGACAGGACGGAAAGACCCCAUGGAGCUUCACUGUAGGCUUGAUAUUGAGUAUCUUUUAAACAUGUACAGGAUAGGUAGGAGCCAGAGAAGAUAGGACGCUAGUCUUAUUGGAGGCAAUGUUGGGAUACUACCCUUGUUUGAAGGAUGCUCUAACCUCGACCUGUAAGCCAGGCCAGGGACAGUGUCAGGUGGGCAGUUUGACUGGGGCGGUCGCCUCCUAAAGUGUAACGGAGGCGCUCAAAGGUUCCCUCAGAAUGGUUGGAAAUCAUUCGCAGAGUGUAAAGGUAUAAGGGAGCUUGACUGCGAGAGAGACAACUCGAGCAGGUAGGAAACUAGGACUUAGUGAUCUGGUGGUACCGUAUGGAAGGGCCAUCACUCAACGGAUAAAAGCUACCCUGGGGAUAACAGGCUUAUCUCCCCCAAGAGUUCACAUCGACGGGGAGGUUUGGCACCUCGAUGUCGGCUCGUCGCAUCCUGGGGCUGAAGUCGGUCCCAAGGGUUGGGCUGUUCGCCCAUUAAAGCGGCACGCGAGCUGGGUUCAGAACGUCGUGAGACAGUUCGGUCCCUAUCCGUCGUGGGCGUAGGAAAUUUGAGAGGAGCUGUCCUUAGUACGAGAGGACCGGGAUGGACGCACCGCUGGUGUACCAGUUGUUCCGCCAGGAGCAUCGCUGGGUAGCUAUGUGCGGAAGGGAUAAGCGCUGAAAGCAUCUAAGUGCGAAGCCCCCCUCAAGAUGAGAUUUCCUUUGCGUAAGCAGUAAGACACCUCAGAGACGAUGAGGUAGAUAGGCUGGGAGUGGAAGUCCUGUGAAGGAUGGAGCGGACCAGUACUAAUCAGUCGAGGACUUGACCAAA